Molecule: transfer RNA, 74 nt
Filed under: uncultured archaeon
Lineage: Archaea
Description: tRNA-Gln(ctg)
Rfam family: tRNA
About the family: Transfer RNA (tRNA) molecules are approximately 80 nucleotides in length. Their secondary structure includes four short double-helical elements and three loops (D, anti-codon, and T loops).
Source: RNAcentral
AGCCCGGUAGUGUAGCGGUCAAUCAUGCGAGGCUCUGGACCUUGCGACGUAGGUUCGAAUCCUAUCCGGGCUAC